This 81-nucleotide non-coding RNA is filed under the name Brochothrix thermosphacta. RNAcentral describes it as "TPP". It matches the Rfam family "TPP riboswitch aptamer (THI element)", at positions 10 to 89 of the family's 105-position model. Rfam says of the family: Vitamin B(1) in its active form thiamin pyrophosphate (TPP) is an essential coenzyme that is synthesised by coupling of pyrimidine and thiazole moieties in bacteria. The previously detected thiamin-regulatory element, thi box was extended, resulting in a new, highly conserved RNA secondary structure, the THI element, which is widely distributed in eubacteria and also occurs in some archaea. Lineage: Bacteria; Bacillati; Bacillota; Bacilli; Caryophanales; Listeriaceae. The record is from RNAcentral.
CCACUAGGGGGCCUUUUUUAAGGCUGAGAUAGGUUUGUCCUGACCCUUGGACCUGAUCUGGUUAGUACCAGCGGAGGAAAU